UACGGCCACAUCACGUUGAAACAUCGCUUCCCGCGCGAUCACCGAAGUUAAGCAACGUUGAGUCUGGUCAGUACCUAGGCGGGUGACCGCUUAGGAAUACCAGACGAUGUAA
Molecule: non-coding RNA, 112 nt
Organism: Acanthosepion pharaonis
Lineage: Eukaryota; Metazoa; Mollusca; Cephalopoda; Sepiida; Sepiidae
Source: the annotation of a GenBank genome assembly